RNAcentral lists this ribosomal RNA (575 nucleotides) under uncultured rumen bacterium. Its description in RNAcentral is "bacterial SSU rRNA". It matches the Rfam family "Bacterial small subunit ribosomal RNA", at positions 347 to 916 of the family's 1533-position model. The record is from RNAcentral.
GGCAGCAGCUAAGAAUAUUCCGCAAUGGACGAAAGUCUGACGGAGCGACGCCGCGUGGAUGAUGAAGGCCGGAAGGUUGUAAAAUCCUUUUAUGACUGAGGAAUAAGUUCUCUGAGAGAAACGGAGGAUGGUGACUGUAGGUCAUGAAUAAGCAACGGCUAAUUACGUGCCAGCAGCCGCGGUAACACGUAAGUUGCGAGCGUUGUUCGGAAUUAUUGGGCGUAAAGGGUAUGUAGGCGGUUCUGCAAGUCUGGUGUGAAAUGCCGGGGCUCAACCCCGGAACUGCGUUGGAAACUGCAGGACUUGAAUCGCUGAGGGGCAGCCAGAAUUCCAGGUGUAGGGGUGAAAUCUGUAGAUAUCUGGAAGAAUACCAAUGGCGAAGGCAGGCUGCCAGCAGAUGAUUGACGCUGAGGUACGAAGGUGCGGGGAGCAAACAGGAUUAGAUACCCUGGUAGUCCGCACAGUCAACUAUGUACACUGGGUGUCCGCACAGAAGUGUGGGUGCCGAAGCAAACGCGAUAAGUGUACCGCCUGGGGAGUAUGCCCGCAAGGGUGAAACUCAAAGGAAUUGACGG